RNAcentral lists this non-coding RNA (29 nucleotides) under Mus musculus (house mouse). The record is from RNAcentral. Lineage: Eukaryota; Metazoa; Chordata; Mammalia; Rodentia; Muridae.
UGAGUUGCUGCUUUCCUGAUGAGGGGACA